UGGCGGACCAUAGCGUUUUACCCACCUGGACUCCAUUCCGAACUCAGAAGUGAGAUAUACGCCGAUGGUAUGUGGGUUUCCCCAUGUGAGAGUAGGACAUCGCCAGCUU
Molecule: ribosomal RNA, 109 nt
Filed under: Vibrio parahaemolyticus VP232
Lineage: Bacteria; Pseudomonadati; Pseudomonadota; Gammaproteobacteria; Vibrionales; Vibrionaceae
Source: RNAcentral